CCUACGGGCGGCAGCAGUGAGGAAUAUUGGUCAAUGGGCGAGAGCCUGAACCAGCCAAGUCGCGUGAGGGAGUACUGCCCUAUGGGUUGUAAACCUCUUUUGUCGGGGAGCAAAAGCCGGACGUGUCCGGCUGUGAGAGUACCCGAAGAAAAAGCAUCGGCUAACUCCGUGCCAGUCGCCGGGGUAAUACGGAGGGGGCAAGCGUUAACCGGAUUUAAUGGGUGUAAAGGGGGCGUAGGCGGUUUAGCAAGUCAGAAGUGAAAGCCCGGGGGUCAACUCCGGGACUGCUUUUGAAACUGUUGGACUAGAUUGCAGGAGAGGUAAGUGGAAUUCCUGGGGUAGCGGUGAAAUGCGUAGAUAUUGGGAGGAACACCAGUGGCGAAGGCAGCUUACUGGACUGUAAAUGACGCUGAGGCUCGAAAGCGUGGGGAGCAAACAGGAUUAGAUACCCGAGUAGUC
RNAcentral lists this ribosomal RNA (459 nucleotides) under uncultured bacterium. Its description in RNAcentral is "partial 16S ribosomal RNA". It matches the Rfam family "Bacterial small subunit ribosomal RNA", at positions 338 to 795 of the family's 1533-position model. The record is from RNAcentral.